This 269-nucleotide ribosomal RNA is filed under the name uncultured Lactobacillus sp. RNAcentral's name for it is "partial 16S ribosomal RNA". It matches the Rfam family "Bacterial small subunit ribosomal RNA", at positions 78 to 339 of the family's 1533-position model. Lineage: Bacteria; Bacillati; Bacillota; Bacilli; Lactobacillales; Lactobacillaceae. The record is from RNAcentral.
UUUCAACAAUGAAGCGAGUGGCGAACUGGUGAGUAACACGUGGGAAAUCUGCCCAGAAGCAGGGGAGUAACACCUGGAAACAGAUGCUAAUACCGCAUAACAACUUGGACCGCAUGGUCCGAGUUUGAAAGGUGGCUUCGGCUAUCACUUCUGGAUGAUCCCGCGGCGUAUUAGUUAGAUGGUGGGGUAACGGCUCACCAUGGCAAUGAUACGUAGCCGACCUGAGAGGGUAAUCGGCCACAUUGGGACUGAGACACGGCCCAAACUCC